AUGCGUCACAUAGGAGUUCCCACCGACACGGACCGCGAAACGCUCCCAGUAUAGCCGCCGGCGGCCACCCAGAUCCCCGCCGCGCCGCGCAGCUUGCCGCCGUGUUCGACGAGGGAGCCGGGGCAAGCAAGCCUGCCUAUAGCAUAUAGAGAAACUGGUUCGGGAAUGCGGGCCAGUGGCGCGGCAACGUCGCGGGUGGUGCGGCGGACGCGCAUCUCUUCGACGACCCGGAUGCCGCCGCCAUCCCGGCGCGCCUCGACCUCCCGCUUCCACGGCGAGAAGGUCGACGCUCAUGCGCCUCCACGCCCUCAUCUCGCAGGGCUUCUACGUCGCUCACCUCUUCCCGCAGGCGGUCAAGAACGUGCCGGCAUGGUUGAUCGAGGUGAAGAAGCUCGUCCACCUUUACCUGUUCCACCACGCCGAGAAGUUUAAAUCGGCGUGUAAGUGAAGGUGUAUUUCUCCUUCACGCCUUCGACGUCGACCCCCUUCCCCUGGUGUAGUAAUGUUUAAUCAGCCAGACCCGUUCUGUCCCACAAUGCCAUUUCUCUUUUUCUAAAUCCAGGAAAUCAAUAUCUUUCAAAAGAUUCAAGGACGUUCGAGGAGUGACCAAAACCAUUGAAGACUUUGCUGAGCGAGGCAAGCAAUCUACUUGGAUCAUGUUGAACCCAUAUUUGCAUUACACUUAUAAUUAAUUUUCAUGCAUAAAGUAUUGUUUACUAGUAUUGCUAUGUUAAGUAAAUUAGCUAGGGUUUAGCUAUGCCAUAUGUCCUUAAUAUUGAACACCCUUUGACAUUCUUAUGCUAAGUUAAUUAGCUAGGGUUUAGCUAUCCUCUAUGUGCUUGGUAUUGACACCCUCCUUUGACAUUCUUAAAACCCCUCCUUUCUAACCAUGUAGUGGUCACAAAUAAAUGUGCGUCAUAUGUGCAAGUUUAAUAGUAAUGCUUAGCCAUGCUAGUCGCGUAAAUCAUAGGACUUGGGAAGAAUCUUUAUUACUCAUAAAUGUUUUACAAAAACCCAAGGGUGCCACUAAUGCCCAUGGGAUGAUUCUGAAAAUAAGGUUUUACAAAAUGGAGAUGAAGUGGAGAUUUAGUUAGGUGAUUGUGAUCUUGACGAGAUAGUCAAAGAUGUUCGGUGGAUUAUGAAAAGUUAUGUCUAGUAAAUGAGCAUGGUGGUUAUUAUAUUGGCGGAUAAAUGGAUCUUUAAUAAACUUGAAGCAAUUUGGGUUUAGUUAGGCGAUUAUGAUCUUGAACCAAAUUUUAUGGUGGAUUAGGAGAUUUUGAUGCAGUUCAUUGUGAUCUUGAGGAGAUAGUCAAAGAUGUUCGGUGGAUUAAUUAAUCUUGGACAAUUUGGAUUUAGUUAGGUGAUUGUGGAACCGUAUUUCAUGAUGGAUUAUGAGAUUUUAGGUGGAUUUAGUUACGUGAUUUAAUCUUGAGAAGAUAGUCUAAAAUGCUCGGUUGAUUGUGAGAGUUUAGGUAUGGUACAUGAGCAUGAUGAUUAUUAUAUUGGUGGAUAAAUAGAUCUUUAAUUUUGUUUGGAACAUUUUGGAUUUAGUUAAGUGAUUGUGAUCUUAAACCAAAUUUCACGGUGGAUUAUGAGGUUUUGGUUGGAAUUAGUUAGGUGAGUGUGAUCUUGACGAGCUAGUAAAAAAUGUUUGGUGGAUUAUGUGAAUUUAGGUCUAGUAGGUGAGCAUGGUGGUAAUUAUAUCGGUUAAGUAAGUAAAUUUUUAGUAAACUUGAGAAAAUUUGGAUUUAGUUAGGAAAUUGUGAUCUUGAACCAAAUUUCAUGGGGGAUUAUGAGAUUUUAGAUGGAUUUAGUCAGUUGAUUGUGAUCUCGAGGAGAUACUCAAAGAUUUUUGAUGGAUUAAUUAACCUGGAACAAUUUGAAUUUAGUUAGGUUAUUGUGAUAUUGAACCGAAUUCCAUGAUGAUUUAUGUGAUUUUAGGUGGAUUUAGUUAAGUUAUUAUGAUCUUGAGAAGAUGGUCAAAGAUGUUAGGUGGAUCUUAAGAUUUUAGGUCUAGUACGUGAGCAUGGUGACUAUUAUAUUGGUGGAUAAAUAGACCUUUAAUUUAGUUUGAAACAAGUUGAAUUUAGUUAGAUGAUUGUGAUCUUUUAAGCAAAUUCACGGUGGAUUUUGAUGUUUCGGUUAGAUUUAGUUAGGUGAUUGUGAUCCUGACGCGAUAAUCAAAGAUGUUCAAUGGAUUAUGUGAGAAUUUAUGUCUAGUAAGUGAGCAUGGUGGUUAUUAUAUUGGUGGCUCAAUAGAUUUUUUAACAAAUUUGGAGUAAUUUGGAUUUAGUUAGGCGAUUGUGAUUUUGAACCAAAUUUCAUGGUGAAUUACAGGAUUUUAAAUGGAUUUAAUUAGUUGAUUGAAAUCUUGAGGAGAUAGUCCAAGAUGUUCGGUUGAUUAAUUAAUCUUUUUUAACACAGUACAGACGCAAGCGCUCAUACAGACGAGCAUACACUCAUCCCUAUGAACGCGCACACGCACAUCCUACCCCUAUGAGCACCUUCGAGAAACUGAGCCAGCAUAUCAUCUUGAGAUUUUACGAAGUUGCCGUAGGUGCCUCUUAGUCGAUGGAAAAAAUUUGAAGUUAGUUCGGUGAUUGUGAUAUUGAACCAAAUUUCUCGGUGAUUUAUUUGAUUUGAAGUGGAUUUAGUUAGGUGAUCGUGUUUUGAGAAGAUAGUCAAAAUGCUCGAUGGAUUAUGAGAUUUUAGUUAUGGUAAAUGAGCAUGAUGAUUAUUAUAUUGGUAGACAAACAAAUGUUUAAUUUAGUUUGGAUCAAUUUGGAUUUAGGUAGGUGAUUGUGAUCUUUUAACCAAAUUUUACGGUGGAUUAUGAGGUUUUGGUUGGAUUUAGUUAGGUGAUUGGGAUCUUGACGAGCUAGUAAAAGAUGUUCGGUAGAUUAUGUGAAUUUAGGUCUAGUAGGUGAGCAUGUUGGUUAUUAUAUUGGUGGAUAAAUGGAUUUUUAGAAAACUUGGAAAAAUUUGGAUUUAGUUAGGCGAUUGUGAUCUUAAACCAAAUUUUAUGGUGGAUUAUGAGAUUUCUGAUGGAUUAGUUAGUUGAUUGUGAUCUUGAGGAGAUAGUCAAAGAUAUUCGGUGUAUUAAUUAAUCUUUAACAAUUUGGAUUUAGUUAGGUGAUUGUGAUAUUGACUAAAUUUCUCUGUGAUUUAUGAGAUUUUAGUUGGAUUUAGUUAGGUGAUUGUGUCUUGAGAAAAUAAUCAAAGAUGUUUGGUGGAUUAUGAGAUUUAGGUCUAAUAACUGAGCAUGGUGAUUAUUAUAUUGGUGGAUAAACAAAUAUUUAAUUUAGUUUGAAGCUGUUUAGAUUUAGUUCGGUGAUUGUGAUCUUUUAACCUAAUUUUACGGUGGAUCAUAUGGUUUUGGUUGGAUUUAGUUAUGUGAUUGUGAUUUUGACAAGCUAGUGAAAGAUGUUCGGUGGAUUAUGUGAAUUUAGGUCUAGUAGGUGAGCAUGUUGAUUACUAUAUUGGUGGAUAGAGAUGAGGGCCACACAAGUGACUCAAGGCGAUGAUGCCACUAGUGAAAAUAGUUGGUACACAAGGCAAAAGAGGAGAGAAUGGGGGUAGUGGCAGCAGAUGGACUUUGAUCCAGCAUCCCACGUGCGUGUGCACUCUUUGUUCCUUGCUGUUCGGCUUGGUGUUCUUGUCCUGUUUGUGCGGAUUUUGUGUCACACACUUGAUUAAGCAUCCCACGUUGUCCUAAUCUGUGCCCUUGGCCUUACCAUAGGUAGUGUUGUGUUCUCGGGCGCGUCCCGUGGGUAAAAUUCAGGUAUGCGUCGAUUGUCCGAGCUCUUGCUCACCAUUGGUGGUGCUUGAGCGUGCGGUCAUGGUGUCACCCAACAAGGGAACACGGGAUGUGGGAUCAAGACAACACACAUAGCAACCCAUCACCAGGCAACGGACGCCCGUCCGUGACUUUCUGGAAGCGGAGGUGGACACAAAGGUGGAUGUUGAGCUCCAUAGCAGUCUCAAUAGUGUGCUUAUUAGUAAGAGCAACACGAGCAAGAAGAUCCUGGAUAUACUCCUCCUAGGAAAUAAAGAAGCCAUUAGAGGUAGAAGAAACAUCAAUCUCAAGGAAGUAGUAACUUCUUUAGUAAACAUGGAGCAAUUUGGAUUUAGUUAGAUGAUUGUGUCUUGAGCUGAUAAUCAAAGAUGUUUUGUGGAUCAUGAGAUUUUAGGUCUAGUAGAGGAGCAUGGUGAUUAUUGUAUUGGUGGAUAAAUAGAUAUUUAAAUUAAUUUUGAACACUUUGAAUUUGGUUAGGUGAUUUUGAUUUUUAGCCUAAUUUUACGAUGGAUUAUAAGGUUCUGGUUGGAUUUAGUCACGUGAUUGUGAUUUUGACGAGGUAGUAAAAGAUGUUCGAUGAAUUAUGUGAAUUUAGGUCUAGUAGGUGAGCAUGCUGAUUAUUGUAUUAGUGGAUAAAUGAAUCUUUAAUAAAUUUGGAACAAUUUGGAUUUAGUUAGACGAUUGUGACCUUGAACCAAAUUGUAUGGUGGAUUAUGAGAUUUUUAUGGACUAGUUAGUUGAUUAUGAUCUUGAGAAGAUAUUCAAAGAUGGUUGGAUUAAUUAAUCUUGAAUAAUUUGGAUUUAGUUAGGUGAUUGUUAUACUAAACCGAAUUUUACGCCGGAUUAUGAGAUUUUAUGUGGAUUUGGUUAGGUGAUUGUGUCUUGAGAAUACUCAAAGAUGUUUGCUGGACUAUGACAUUUUAGGUUUAGUAGAUGAGAAUGGUGAUUAUUAUAUUGGUGGAUACAACAGAUCUUUAAUUUAGUUUGGAACAAUUUUGAUUUAGUUAGGUGAUUGUUAUUUUUCAAACAAAUUCACGGUGGAUUUUGAGGUUUUGUUGGAUUUAGUUAGGUUAUUGUGAUCUCGAGGAGUUAGUCAAAGAUGUUUGGUGAAUUAUGUUAACUUAGGUCUAGUAAGUGAGCACGGUGGUUAUUAUAUUGGUGGAUAAAUGGUCCUUUAGUAAACAUGGAGCAAUUUGGAUGUAGUUAGGCUAUUGUGAUCUUGAAUAAAUUUCAUAGUGGAUUACAAGAUUUUCAAUAGAUUUAGUUAGUAGAUUGUGAUCUUGGGGAGAUGUCAAAGAUGUUUGGUGGCUUAAUUAAUCUUAAACAGAUUGGAGUUGGUAGAUGAUUGCGAUAUUGAACCAAAUUUCUCUGUGAUUUAUGAGAUUUUAGUUGGAUUUAGUUAGGUGAUUGUGUCUUGAGAUGAUAAUAAAAUAUGUUUGGUGGAUUAUGGAUUUUAGGUCUAAUAACUGAGCAUGGCGAUUAUUAUAUUGGUGGAUGAACAUAUAUUUAAUUUAGUUUGAAAUGAUUUGGAUUUAGUUAUGUGAUUGUGAUUUUGACAAGCUAGUAAAAGAUGUUCGGUGGAUUAUGUGAAUUUAGGUCUAGUAGGUGAGCAUGUUGAUUAUUAUAUUGGUGAAUAGAGAUGAGGGACGCACAAGUGACUCAAGGCAAUGAUGCCACUACUGAAAAUAACUGGUAAACAAGGCAAAAGAGGAGAGAAUCGGGGUAGUGGCAGCAGAUGGACUUUGAUCCAGCAUCCCACGCGCAUGUGCACUCUCCGUUCCCCGUUGUCCGGCUUGGUGUUCUUGUCCUGUUUGCGGAUUUUGUGUCACGCACUUGAUUAAGCAUCCCACGUUCUCCUAAUGUGCGCCCUUUGCCUUGACGAUAGGUAGCGCGUGUUCUCGGGAGUGUCCUGUGGGUAAAAUUCAGGUAUGCGUCGAUUGUCUGAGCUCUUGCUCGCCAUUGGUGGUGCUUGAGCGUGUGGUCAUGGUGUCGCCCAGCAAGGGAACACGGGAUGUGGGAUCAAGACAACACACAUAGCAACCCGUGACCAGGCAACGGACGCCCGUACGGACUUUGAGGGAGCGGAGGUGGACACAAAGAUGGAUGUUGAGCUCCAUAGCAGUCUCAACAGUGUGCUCAUCAGUACGAGCAACACGAGCAAGAAGAUCCUGGAUAUACUCUUCUUAGGAAACCUCAAUCUCAAGGAAGUAGCGACUUCUUUAGUAAACAUGGAGCAAUUUGGAUUCAGUUAGGCGAUUAUGAUCUUGAACAAAUUUCAUGGUGGAUUAUGAGAUUUUUCAAUGGAUUUAGUUGAUUGUGAUCUUGAGGAGAUAGUCAAAGAUGUUCGAUGUAUUAAUUAAUCUUGAACAAUAUGGAUUUAGUUAUGUGAUUGUGAUAUUGAACCAAAUUUCUCGGUGAUUUAUGAGAUUUUAGUUCGAUUUAGUUAGGUGAUUGUGUCUUGAGAUGAUAAUCAAAGAUGUUUUAUGGAUCAUGAGAUUUUAGAUCUAGUAGAGGAGAAUGGUGAUUAUUGUAUUGGUGGAUAAAUAGAUAUUUAAAUUAAUUUGAAACAAUUUCAAUUGGUCAGGUGAUUGUGAUCUUUUAACCUAAUUUUACGAUGGAUUAUAAGGUUCUGGUUGGAUUUAGUCAAGUGAUUGUGAUUUUGACGAGGUAGUAAAAGAUGUUCGAUGAAUUAUGUGAAUUUAGGUCUAGUAGGUGAGCCUGUUGAUUAUAUAUUGGUGGAUAAAUGAAUCUUUAAUAAAUUUGGAACAAUUUGGAUUUAGUUCGGUGAUUGUGAUACUGAACCGAAUUUUACGCCGGAUUAUGAGAUUUUAUGUGGAUUUAGUAAGGUGAUUGUGUCUUGAGAAUAGUCAAAGAUGUUUGCUGGACUAUGAGAUUUUAGGUUUAGUAGAUGAGAAUGGUGAUUAUUAUAUUGGUGGAUAAAACAGAUCUUUAAUUUAGUUUGGAACAAUUUUGAUUUAGUUAGGUGAUUUUUAUUUUUCAAACAAAUUCACGGUGGAUUUUGAGGUUUUGUUGGUUUUAGUUAGGUUAUUGUGAUCUCGAAGAGUUAGUCAAAGAUGUUUGGUGAAUUAUGUUAACUUAGGUCUAGUAAGUGAGCAUGGUGGUUAUUAUAUUGGUGGAUAAAUGGUCCUUUAGUAAACAUGGAGCAAUUUGGAUGUAGUUAGGCUAUUGUGAUCUUGAAUAAAUUUCAUAGUGGAUUACAAGAUUUUCAAUAGAUUUAGUUAGUAGAUUGUGAUCUUGGGGAGAUGUCAAAGAUGUUUGGUGGAUUAAUUAAUCUUAAACAGUUUGGAGUUGGUAGAUGAUUGCGAUAUUGAACCAAAUUUCUCUGUGAUUUAUGAGAUUUUAGUUGGAUUUUGUUAGGUGAUUGUGUCUUUGAGAUGAUAAUAAAAGAUAUUUGGUGGAUUAUGGAUUUUAGGUCUAAUAACUGAGCAUGGCGAUUAUUAUAUUGGUGGAUGAACAUAUAUUUAAUUUAGUUUGAAAUGAUUUGGAUUUAGUUAUGUGAUUGUGAUUUUGACAAGCUAGUAAAAGAUGUUUGGUGGAUUAUGUGAAUUUAGGUCUAGUAGGUGAGCAUGUUGAUUAUUAUAUUGGUGAAUAGAGAUGAGGGACGCACAAGUGACUCAAGGCAAUGAUGCCACUACUGAAAAUAACUGGUAGACAAGGCAAAAGAGGAGAGAAUGGGGGUAGUGGCAGCAGAUGGACUUUGAUGCAGCAUCCCACGUGCAUGUGCACUCCCCGUUCCCCGUUGUCCGGCUUGGUGUUCUUGUCCUGUUUGCGGAUUUUGUGUCACACACUUGAUUAAGCAUCCCACGUUCUCCUAAUGUGCGCCCUUUGCCUUGACGAUAGGUAGCGCGUGUUCUCGGGCGUGUCCUGUGGGUAAAAUUCAGGUAUGCGUCGAUUGUCUGAGCUCUUGCUCGCCAUUGGUGGUGCUUGAGCAUGGUGUCGCCCAGCAAGGGAACACGGGAUGUGGGAUCAAGACAGCACACAUAGCAACCCGUGACCAGGCAACAGACGCCCGUCCGGACUUUCAGGGAGCGGAGGUGGACACAAAGAUGGAUGUUGAGCUCCAUAGCAGUCUUAGCAGUAAGCUCAUCAGUACGAGCAACACAAGCAAGAAGAUCCUGGAUAUACUCCUCUUAGGAAACCUCAAUCUCAAGGAAGUAGCGACUUCUUUAGUAAACAUGGAGCAAUUUGGAUUCAAUUAGGCGAUUAUGAUCUUGAACAAAUUUCAUGGUGGAUUACGAGAUUUUUCAAUAGAUUUAGUUGAUUGUGAUCUUGAGGAGAUAGUCAAAGAUGUUCGGUGUAUUAAUUAAUCUUGAACAAUAUGGAUUUAGUUAUGUGAUUGUGAUAUUGAACCAAAUUUCUCGGUGAUUUAUGAGAUUUUAGUUCGAUUUAGUUAGGUGAUUGUGUCUUGAGAUGAUAAUCAAAGAUGUUUUGUGGAUCAUGAGAUUUUAGAUCUAGUAGAGGAGGAUGGUGAUUAUUGUAUUGGUGGAUAAAUAGAUAUUUAAAUUAAUUUGAAACAAUUUCAAUUGGUCAGGUGAUUGUGAUCUUUUAACCUAAUUUUACGAUGGAUUGUAAGGUUCUGGUUGGAUUUAGUCAGGUGAUUGUGAUUUUGACGAGGUAGUAAAAGAUGUUCGAUGAAUUAUGUGAAUUUAGGUCUAGUAGGUGAGCAUGUUGAUUAUAUAUUGGUGGAUAAAUGAAUCUUUAAUAAAUUUGGAACAAUUUGGAUUUAGUUAGGCGAUUGUGACCUUGAACCACAUUUUAUGGUGGAUUAUGAGAUUUUUAUGGACUAGUUAGUUGAUUAUGAUCUUGAGAAGAUAUUCAAAGAUGGUUGGAUUAAUUAAUCUUGAGUAAUUUGGAUUUAGUUAGGUGAUUGUGAUACUAAACCGAAUUUUACGCCGGAUUAUGAGAUUUUAUGUGGAUUUAGUUAGGUGAUUGUGUCUUGAGAAUAGUCAAAGAUGUUUGCUCGACUAUGAGAUUUUAGGUUUAGUAGAUGAGAAUGGUGAUUAUUACAUUGUUGGAUAAACGGAUCUUUAAUUUAGUUUGGAACAAUUUUGAUUUAGUUAGGUGAUUGUUAUUUUUCAAACAAAUUCACGGUGGAUUUUGAGGUUUUGUUGGAUUUAGUUAGGUUAUUGUGUUUUGAGCUAAUAAUCAAAGAUGUUUUGUGGAUCAUGAGGUUUUAGGCCUAGUUGAGGAGCAUGGUAAUUAUUGUAUUGGUGGAUAAAUAGAUAUUUAAAUUAAUUUAGAACAAUUUGAAUUUGGUCAGGUGAUUUUGAUUUUUUAGCCUAAUUUUACGAUGGAUUAUAAGGUUCUGGUUGGAUUUAGUCACGUGAUUGUCAUUUUGACGAGGUAGUAAAAGUUGUUCGAUUAAUUAUGUGAAUUUAGGUCUAGUAGGUGAGCAUGCUGAUUAUUAUAUUAGUGGAUAAAUGAAUCUUUAAUAAAUUUGGAACAAUUUGGAUUUAGUUAGACGAUUGUGACCUUGAACCAAAUUAUAUGGUGGAUUAUGAGAUUUUUAUGGACUAGUUAGUUGAAUAUGAUCUUGAGAAGAUAUUGAAAGAUGGUUCGAUUAAUUAAUCUUGAAUAAUUUGGAUUUAGUUCGGUGAUUGUGAUACUGAACCGAAUUUUACGCCGGAUUAUGAGAUUUUAUGUGGAUUUAGUAAGGUGAUUGUGUCUUGAGAAUAGUCAAAGAUGUUUGCUGGACUAUGAGAUUUUAGGUUUAGUAGAUGAGAAUGGUGAUUAUUAUAUUGGUGGAUAAAACAGAUCUUUAAUUUAGUUUGGAACAAUUUUGAUUUAGUUAGGUGAUUUUUAUUUUUCAAACAAAUUCACGGUGGAUUUUGAGGUUUUGUUGGUUUUAGUUAGGUUAUUGUGAUCUCGAAGAGUUAGUCAAAGAUGUUUGGUGAAUUAUGUUAACUUAGGUCUAGUAAGUGAGCACGGUGGUUAUUAUAUUGGUGGAUAAAUGGUCCUUUAGUAAACAUGGAGCAAUUUGGAUGUAGUUAGGCUAUUGUGAUCUUGAAUAAAUUUCAUAGUGGAUUACAAGAUUUUGAAUAGAUUUAGUUAGUAGAUUGUGAUCUUGGGGAGAUGUCAAAGAUGUUUGGUGGAUUAAUUAAUCUUAAACAGUUUGGAGUUGGUAGAUGAUUGCGAUAUUGAACCAAAUUUCUCUGUGAUUUAUGAGAUUUUAGUUGGAUUUAGUUAGGUGAUUGUGUCUUUGAGAUGAUAAUAAAAGAUGUUUGGUGGAUUAUGGACUUUAGGUCUAAUAACUGAGCAUGGCGAUUAUUAUAUUGGUGGAUGAACAUAUAUUUAAUUUAGUUUGAAAUGAUUUGGAUUUAGUUAUGUGAUUGUGAUUUUGACAAGCUAGUAAAAGAUGUUCGGUGGAUUAUGUGAAUUUAGGUCUAGUAGGUGAGCAUGUUGAUUAUUAUAUUGGUGAAUAGAGAUGAGGGACGCACAAGUGACUCAAGGCAAUGAUGCCACUACUGAAAAUAACUGGUAGACAAGGCAAAAGAGGAGAGAAUGGGGGUAGUGGCAGCAGAUGGACUUUGAUCCAGCAUCCCACGUGCAUGUGCACUCCCCGUUCCCCGUUGUCCGGCUUGGUGUUCUUGUCCUGUUUGCGGAUUUUGUGUCACGCACUUGAUUAAGCAUCCCACGUUCUCCUAAUGUGCGCCCUUUGCCUUGACGAUAGGUAGCGCGUGUUCUCGGGCGUGUCCUGUGGGUAAAAUUCAGGUAUGCGUCGAUUGUCUGAGCUCUUGCUCGCCAUUGGUGGUGCUUGAGCAUGGUGUCGCCCAGCAAGGGAACACGGGAUGUGGGAUCAAGACAGCACACAUAGCAACCCGUGACCAGGCAACAGACGCCCGUCCGGACUUUCAGGGAGCGGAGGUGGACACAAAGAUGGAUGUUGAGCUCCAUAGCAGUCUUAGCAGUAAGCUCAUCAGUACGAGCAACACGAGCAAGAAGAUCCUGGAUAUACUCCUCUUAGGAAACCUCAAUCUCAAGGAAGUAGCGACUUCUUUAGUAAACAUGGAGCAAUUUGGAUUCAGUUAGGCUAUUGUGAUCUUGAAUAAAUUUCAUAGUGUAUUACAAGAUUUUCAAUAGAUUUAGUUAGUAGAUUGUGAUCUUGGGGAGAUGUCAAAGAUGUUUGGUGGAUUAAUUAAUCUUAAACAAUUUGGAGUUGGUAGAUGAUUGCGAUAUUGAACCAAAUUUCUCUGUGAUUUAUGAGAUUUUAGUUGGAUUUAGUUAGGUGAUUGUGUCUUGAGAUGAUAAUAAAAGAUGUUUGGUGGAUUAUGGAUUUUAGGUCUAAUAACUGAGCAUGACGAUUAUUAUAUUGGUGGAUGAACAUAUAUUUAAUUUAGUUUGAAACGAUUUGGAUUUAGUUAUGUGAUUGUGAUUUUGACAAGCUAGUAAAAGAUGUUCGGUGGAUUAUGUGAAUUUAGAUCUAGUAGGUGAGCAUGUUGAUUAUUAUAUUGGUGAAUAGAGAUGAGGGACGCACAAGUGACUCAAGGCAAUGAUGCCACUACUGAAAAUAACCGGUAAACAAGGCAAAAGAGGAGAGAAUGGGGGUAGUGGCAGCAGAUGGACUUUGAUCCAGCAUCCCACGUGCAUGUGCACUCUCCAUUCCCCGUUGUCCGGCUUGGUGUUCUUGUCCUGUUUGCGGAUUUUGUGUCACACACUUGAUUAAGCAUCCCACGUUCUCCUAAUGUGCGCCCUUGGCCUUGACGAUAGGUAGCGCGUGUUCUCGGGCGUGUCCUGUGGGUAAAAUUCAGGUAUGCGUCGAUUGUCUGAGCUCUUGCUCGCCAUUGGUGGUGCUUGAGCAUGGUGUCGCCCAGCAAGGGAACACGGGAUGUGGGAUCAAGACAGCACACAUAGCAACCCGUGACCAGGCAACAGACGCCCGUCCGGACUUUCAGGGAGCGGAGGUGGACACAAAGAUGGAUGUUGAGCUCCAUAGCAGUCUCAGCAGUAAGCUCAUCAGUACGAGCAACACGAGCAAGAAGAUCCUGGAUAUACUCCUCUUAGGAAAUAAAGAAGGCAUUAGAGGUAGAAGAAACCUCAAUCUCAAGGAAGUAGCGACUUCUUUAGUAAACAUGGAGCAAUUUGGAUUCAGUUAGGCGAUUAUGAUCUUGAACAAAUUUCAUGGUGGAUUACGAGAUUUUUCAAUGGAUUUAGUUGAUUGUGAUCUUGAGGAGAUAGUCAAAGAUGUUCGUUGUAUUAAUUAAUCUUGAACAGUAUGGAUUUAGUUAUGUGAUUGUGAUAUUGAACCAAAUUUCUCUGUGAUUUAUGAGAUUUUAGUUCGAUUUAGUUAGGUGAUUGUGUCUUGAGAUGAUAAUCAAAGAUGUUUUGUGGAUCAUGAGAUUUUAGGUCUAGUAGAGGAGGAUGGUGAUUAUUGUAUUGGUGGAUAAAUAGAUAUUUAAAUUAAUUUGAAACAAUUUGAAUUUGGUCAUGUGAUUUUGAUUUUUUAGCCUAAUUUUACGAUGGAUUAUAAGGUUCUGGUUGGAUUUAGUCACGUGAUUGUGAUUUUGACGAGGUAGUAAAAGAUGUUUGAUUAAUUAUGUGAAUUUAGGUCUAGUAGGUGAGCAUGUUGAUUAUUAUAUUAGUGGAUAAAUGAAUCUUUAUUAAAUUUGGAACAAUUUGGAUUUAGUUAGACGAUUGUGACCUUGAACCAAAUUAUAUGGUGGAUUAUGAGAUUUUUAUGGACUAGUUAGUUGAUUAUGAUCUUGAGAAGAUAUUCAAAGAUGGUUGGAUUAAUUAAUCUUGAAUAAUUUGGAUUUAGUUAGGUGAUUGUGAUACUGAACCGAAUUUUACGCCGGAUUAUGAGAUUUUAUGUGGAUUUAGUUGGGUGAUUGUGUCUUGAGAAUAGUCAAAGAUGUUUGCUGGACUAUGAGAUUUUAGGUUUAGUAGAUGAGAAUGGUGAUUAUUAUAUUGGUGGAUAAAACAGAUCUUCAAUUUAGUUUGGAACAAUUUUUAGCCUAGUUUUACGAUGGAUUAUAAGGUUCUGGUUGGAUUUAGUCACGUGAUUGUGAGUUUGACGAGGUAGUUAAAGAUGUUCGAUGAAUUAUGUGAAUUUAGGUCUAGUAGGUGAGCAUGCUGAUUAUUAUAUUAGUGGAUAAAUGAAUCUUUAAUAAAUUUGGAACAAUUUGGAUUUAGUUAGACGAUUGUGACCUUGAACCAAAUUAUUUAGUUAGACGAUUUAGUUAGGUGAUUGUGUCUUGAGAAUUGUCAAAGAUGUUUGCUCGACUAUGAGAUUUUAAGUUUAGUAGAUGAGAAUGGUGAUUAUUAUAUUGGUGGAUAAAACAGAUCUUUAAUUUAGUUUGGAACAAUUUUGAUUUAGUUAGGUGAUUGUUAUUUUUCAAACAAAUUCACGGUGGAUUUUGAGGUUUUGUUGGAUUUAGUUAGGUUAUUGUGAUCUCGAAGAGUUAGUCAAAGAUGUUUGGUGAAUUAUGUUAACUUAGGUCUAGUAAGUGAGCACGGUGGUUAUUAUAUUGGUGGAUAAAUGGUCCUUUAGUAAACAUGGAGCAAUUUGGAUGUAGUUAGGCUAUUGUGAUCUUGAAUAAAUUUCAUAGUGUAUUACAAGAUUUUCAAUAGAUUUAGUUAGUAGAUUGUGAUCUUGGGGAGAUGUCAAAGAUGUUUGGUGGAUUAAUUAAUCUUAAACAAUUUGGAUUUGGUAGAUGAUUGCGAUAUUGAACCAAAUUUCUCUGUGAUUUAUGAGAUUUUAGUUGGAUUUAGUUAGGUGAUUGUGUCUUUGAGAUGAUAAUAAAAGAUGUUUGGUGGAUUAUGGACUUUAGGUCUAAUAACUGAGGAUGGUGAUUAUUAUAUUGGUGGAUGAACAGAUAUUUAAUUUAGUUUGAAAUGAUUUGGAUUUAGUUCGGUGAUUGUGAUCUUUUAACCUAAUUUUACGGUGGAUUAUAAGGUUUUGGUUGGAUUUGGUUAGCCGAUUGUGAUUUUGACAAGCUAGUAAAAGAUGUUUGGUGGAUUAUGUGAAUUUAGGUCUAGUAGGUGAGCAUGUUGAUUAUUGUAUUGGUGGAUAAAUAAUUAUUUAAUAAACUUGGAAAAUUUUGGAUUUAGUUAAGCGAUUGUCAUUUUGAACCAAAUUUUAUGUUGGAGUAUGAGAUUUUUGAUGGAUUAGUUAGUUGAUUGUGAUCUUGAAGAGAUUGUCAAAGAUGUCCGGUGUAUUAAUUAAUCUUGAACAAUUUGGAUUUAGUUAAGUGAUUGUGAUAUUGAAACAAAUUUCUCUGUGAUUUAUGAGAUGUUAGUUGGAUUUAGUUAGGAUAUUGUGUCUUGAAAAGAUAGUCAAAGAUGUUUGGUGGAUUAUGAGAUUUUAGGUCUAAUAGAUGAGCAUGGUGAUUAUUAUUUUUGUGGAAAUGAAUCUUUAAUAAAUUUGGAACAAUUUGGAUUUAGUUAGCCGAUUGUGAUCUUUAACCAAAUUUUAUGGUGGAUUAUGAGAUUUAGUUUGGCUCCGCUCUGCCUCUUCCUCAAGGAGCAUGUGUAGUCUAGUGGUGCGGCGGCUCGUGCGGCGUGCGGUGGCCUUAGAAGAUGGGCGCCGACACCUGCUGCUUGUGCACAAUGGUGACUCCACGCAUCUCCUGCGCCCCACAACCCUCUCCUUCCCGGCACAGGAGGAGCAGGAGCAAGGAUGCCGAGGCGGUUCAGUCGCGAGGAAGAGUAGGAAGAUCAGGCAGAGAGGGUUUUACAUACCUCUUCCACACUGACAAGUCUUUGCUUUUCAGGAUUGCCAUGGCGAGCUGCUGCUGGAGCUUUGGAUGGUGGUCUUGGUAUUCCACACAGUGACAAGAGAUUUGCUGGCUUCAAGAAGGAUAAGAAGCAGCCGGGCGCUGAGAUUCACCGCAAAUACAUCUAUGAAGGUCAUGUUGCUGACUACAUGAAGUCAAUAGCUGAUGAGGAACCUAAGAAGUACCAAUCUCACUUCAGUGAGUACAUCUGAAAGAAUAUUGCGGCCGAUGACAUGGAAUAAGGUUCAUGCUACCAUUUGUGCUUAUCCUACCAUGGCAAGAUCAACUAAGGAACCUCCAAAGACGCACAAGAAUUGGAUAUAUCUUGCUGUUUAUUAAAGUCAAACAACUGAUAAUGAAGUUUAUCAAUAUAUAGUAAUGGGUAUAAAUGUUUCCUCAUACUCAUGUAGUCCGUUCAUUCCUAAACUAUAUGUUCUUCUUUUGUUAAAACCUUAAAAUAUUAAGAUGUUACGGUAAAUAAAUUCCUUCAGAAUCAAUAAUAGAAAAGUUUUGCUAUGCAAUAAGAUACAGUUGUAUGCAAAAAAUAAUCUUGUAUUAUAUAGUUAUAUAUCAAAACUAUGGAUUUUCUAUGCACUUCCUGCGAUCAUUAAUGUUCAUUGUCUUUGUUCGGAUUUUGUUGGGCACCUGCGGCAAGCGGUGUCAGACACGAGGGACGCUGCCAGGUCCGCGUCAACAUCGUGCUCACAGAGCCUGGCCGCUGCGUUGUGUUCUCCAUUUUGCAGUGCAUGGUGAACUACACGGCAAAGUUCAGCUGAAGUUCCUCUAUUUUCUUCCUACUAAGAGCCCUGACGAUUUGUACUACUUGGCUGCAAAUUUGUGCCGUUUGCAUCACCAUACGGAUAGUGGUUUGUUCUUCUGGCAUUAUUCAUGGUUCUCAUCAUAGCCAUACUGAAUGAUGCAGGUGGCAUACCUGAAUUUAUCAUAUGAAUUAUGACUUUAUGAGCUUGCUUGGCUACUGACCUGCUGUUUUGGAAGGGCGUCCUUUUACCAGAGCUAUGGAUUUUAUUAUGCUCCAUUUCCUUCAGGGCGCGUUGACCCACCGUGGAUGUUGGUCGCUGCAUGCCUGCGCUGUUCUUUGCUCGGCUGGGUGGAGCGCUUGUGUUGCCAGCCUACAAUUGGCGUCGGGACUUUCGUUCGGUUCUGCUCGGCGGCGGUGAUUUCCUUCGGUUCUGCUGGGCCCUUCUAUCUAGCGGCCCCUAGAAGGGAGCGCGGGUGACGCGCUGCAGUCUAGCCUCCACCGCCGCCACCGCCUGUACUCGCCGUCUCGUCUGCUGCUGAAGCUCCCAAACAGCUCACCUCGUGGCAGCAAGGAGUUAGUCAAAAUAUGCAAGUAUGUGCACCCAUUUUGUUCAAGCCCCUUGCUCAAAAGUUGGUCAGGAGAUGCAAGAAUACAGGUAAACUGCAUAUAUAACUGCAUUUUUACGCAGAACUGAAAUUUCACAGAAACUACACUAAACUGCAUUGAGAUUAUUGAAAAGUGUUAAUUAAAUGUUAAAUGGAUAACUUUGUGACAAUCUACACCGUAUCUUUAUGGACUAGGACCAAUCAAAACAACAUGCAGGAAUUGUUCAUCCUCAUGGAACCAAAAAACCAUCCAUCCACUUUCAUUGCAAGUCAACACUGUACUGAGCUUUCCCUGUCCAUACACUUCCGAAACAGAAUGCCAGAUUGUUAAAUACUGACCAAGAUAAUGAUAUUUAGAAACAAAUUACCUCACCCUCACCUCUUUCUGAUUCGUUUUUUGCUGCUGAACUAUUGCUGUCGGCUGUCGGAGUGCCUUUGCUGCUUUGGGUUCUUGCUUAACUUCCGCCUGCUGUGGAUGCCGCUUUGUGCUUGGGUCUUUCCUUGUUGCUGCUGGUGUCGCCGUCUUAUUGCUGGCCAGGGGCAUGAUAUCUUGAGCAGCAGCCAAUCCUCCACGGGUGAAGUGAAGAUUUAUGUUUGUUACAAUUUCCAAUAUUAGCAUAGUAUGUAUUUGCAUGUUGCAAAGAUCUCGGUAUGAGGAGAUUUAGAUUCAUUCAACUCAACCAUUGACAGGCAGGGAGACAACAAAGGGGGCAGUAUAAUUGCAUCCCAUCAUUAUUUUUCUUUUUAUUAGAUGGCAUAUUGUUAUUUUGUUUUAUAUAUACUUAACGUCCCCAUAUGGCUGUUGUAUUACCAUGUAUCCGUGUUUCUUAGUUCUUAAUCAUCCUAAGUUUUAGCAGAUUAAUUAAUCAUUUACUUUUCUCAAUUUUAUUGUUUUGGAAAUUUUGUUCCUCUACCAUUUAUCAAGUACGGUUUGCGAGAGGUGGUUGCUACUCCUACGUUCUAGAUUAGCCUUGGCAGUUCAGAGUCUGGUAUUGAACGUGUUACAAUGUAUUAUCAUAAUGUAAUAAUGUUUUGGUAUUUACUUGAGAGCUAGCAUCCCAUGUACUAGUAUCUGUUUUGUAUUGUUUUGCCGGCAUCUAUAUGUAAUACAAAAGGUAGUUCUCGUUCAGCAUUUAAAUGAUCUGGUGUCGUUCUAUUGCAUGGCAUUUGAAUUGCCCAAUGCUUGGUUGUGAGAGAUGAUAUCUAGUAUCUCAGAAAGGAGAAAGGGUCACGGCUGGUCAAAUGUUUUGUGCCUAGGACUGAUAUGAACUUUUCUUCCACAACUAGACAAUUAUCCAAUCUAUUUCAAUUGUCUGAAUGUUAACUCGAGGUAAGAGCAAGUGCUACGACAAUUCCCAGUACACAUUUAAAACUAGUUUGGCAACAAAGUUUUUAGAAAACCGUGGUAAUUGAAAACCACAGUAUUUCGAUGUGUGGCCAAAGAAUACUGCAGUUUCUUUAAACCAUGGUUUUUCUCAGUUUUACUAAAACUACCAGGUGUUUGGGUGGUGUUCUUAUACUACAGUUUUGACCGGAUUAUAAGGCAGGAUGACAGAUAAAACUAACUCAACUAACUAAAGGUGCUACAUGACCGGACUAAUUAGCGUAUGCUAACAGCCGCCAUUUAGUAGUGUUGUAUUCCCAUCCACCGGUGCCAUCUAAAAUGUAUAUGCCGCCCGGCAGCGUUGCAACUUGCAAUCACCAGAAGGACUUGGGACACCAAUUAACAGAAGGCAAUGUUAACCGACUCGCCUAUUAAUUAGGAGAUGGAAUAAGAUUCGCUAACAAGAUAAUGGAAAGAGGCAAAAUAGUAGUGAUCGCAUGCAUCUGAUUUUAUCUCAACGUAGACAGGAACGUCAAGUGCGCUCUCUUCAAUGACUUCUCUCGCUUCUGUUUAGGAAAAAGAGGUCUGGACCACUUUUUUAGAUACUGCAAAAUAACCACAGUUUUUGGCAUACUGCAGUUUAUGAAACUUCUGCUUUUGUUUUACCCAAACACCUCAACGUAUGUAAUACCAAAGUAUUUUCAGAAACCACAGUAUUUCCUGAAAACUGCAAAAAUACUUUGUAAACAAACGCACCCUUAUAAGCAGUAUUUCGGUUAAAAAAGACUUGACGCAGUAGCAGUUUAAUAUUAUUCAGACUUAGACACCGUAGCAGUUGCUUGUUCCACUCCACAACCUGCAAAGCAGCAAAUCACACUCCCUCUUAACAACCGACGACGAUGGACACCGGAGGCAGAAGAAGCAGCAUAGUACACCAUGCAGCAGAACCUGAAUGAACCUGCAAAGCGCCAGGAUCUGUGGUAACGCUGGAACUUGCCGCACGGCGCGGUGCGCAGCUCGACGCCAGCGGCGGCAGCGAGUCGCCGGCCUCGGCGGGCCACUUUCCCCACGUCCCUGGCGCGCAUCUUGUCAUGCGGUUCACUACGGUGCUCGCCAUGGCGGAUCGAUGCUCUGAACGGCGAUCGGUGCUCUGCAUAACACAUGACAGAAUGGUGACCGCAUGGC
Molecule: non-coding RNA, 18403 nt
Organism: Triticum urartu
Lineage: Eukaryota; Viridiplantae; Streptophyta; Magnoliopsida; Poales; Poaceae
Source: RefSeq, a predicted model, not a curated record